Non-coding RNA from Xylaria curta, 99 nucleotides. The record is from the annotation of a GenBank genome assembly. Lineage: Eukaryota; Fungi; Ascomycota; Sordariomycetes; Xylariales; Xylariaceae.
GGGCUUGUGGUUUAGUGGUAUAAUACUCCCUUAGCAUCUAAAUGGCUUCUCGCCACUAGGAAUUGGGAGUGGUCCGGGGUUCGAUUCCCCGCGAGUCCA